Notolabrus celidotus (New Zealand spotty) is the source of this 490-nucleotide long non-coding RNA. RefSeq lists it as uncharacterized. NCBI's taxonomy places the organism in Eukaryota, Metazoa, Chordata, Actinopteri, Labriformes, Labridae. The transcript has 2 exons. The record is from RefSeq and is a predicted model, not a curated record.
AGGUGAUGCUGAGAGGUGUUGACUGGUUAUAGCCAUGAAGAAGCUGAAAAUAUUCGUGCUCAUGGAUGAAAAACAGAGAAAAUGACGGACUACAGCCAAGUUGAGCUUCUUGCACAGCUCAGCUUUGUCCUGCGUUCCCAGGUAAGCGUUCCUCUUGAACGCUCGCUCCAUGCUGCUGAUCUGAUCCGCUGUGAACGCCGUGCGAGGCCUCCUGCCUGAAGGGGGCGACGUGGGGCAGGAAGAGGAGGAGGAGGAAGGGGAGGAAGGGGAGGAGGUGCAGUCUGCGUCGGGGGCUGAGAGGGAGAUGGAAUGACCUCCUUCGCUCUCGUAGCCGGAUGUCUCUUCUUCUGUCCCGCUGCUGAAACCGGCCUCAGAGACUGCAGACACCAACGAAGAAGAAGUUAGAUUUGAAUCCUUCUUUCAUUACAUGUUAAUGGAUGCUUUCAUGACUUUGUUUUACUUUGAAUUAAGUACUAAUUCUACAGGGUGA